This 495-nucleotide ribosomal RNA is filed under the name uncultured bacterium. Its description in RNAcentral is "partial 16S ribosomal RNA". It matches the Rfam family "Bacterial small subunit ribosomal RNA", at positions 28 to 507 of the family's 1533-position model. The record is from RNAcentral.
GACGAACGCUGGCGGCGUGCCUAAUACAUGCAAGUCGAACGCUGAAGGAGGAGCUUGCUCUUCUGGAUGAGUUGCGAACGGGUGAGUAACGCGUAGGUAACCUGCCUGGUAGCGGGGGAUAACUAUUGGAAACGAUAGCUAAUACCGCAUAAGAGUAGAUGUUGCAUGACAUUUACUUAAAAGGUGCAAUUGCAUCACUACCAGAUGGACCUGCGUUGUAUUAGCUAGUUGGUGGGGUAACGGCUUACCAAGGCGACGAUACAUAGCCGACCUGAGAGGGGGAUCGGCCACGCUGGGACUGAGACACGGCCCAGACUCCUACGGGAGGCAGCAGUAGGGAAUCUUCGGCAAUGGACGGAAGUCUGACCGAGCAACGCCGCGUGAGUGAAGAAGGGUGUCGGAUCGUAAAGCUCUGUUGUAAGAGAAGAACGAGUGUGAGAGUGGAAAGUUCACACUGUGACGGUAGCUGACCAGAAAGGGACGGCUAACUACGUG